UUGCAAUGAUGAAAGCUUAAGAAGUCAUUGAAAGCAUGUCUAUAUGAUGUGCUUGAUGUGAUAUCAACAUGGUGGAGACCAUGUUGUUACUGAGCGGUUACCUGAGCAA
Molecule: small nucleolar RNA, 109 nt
Filed under: Macleaya cordata
Lineage: Eukaryota; Viridiplantae; Streptophyta; Magnoliopsida; Ranunculales; Papaveraceae
Description: small nucleolar RNA snoR128
Rfam family: small nucleolar RNA snoR128
Source: Rfam by way of RNAcentral